AUUGAACGCUGGCGGCAUGCUUUACACAUGCAAGUCGAACGGUAACAGGCCGCAAGGUGCUGACGAGUGGCGAACGGGUGAGUAAUGCAUCUGAACGUGCCCAGGCGUGGGGGAUAACUACUCGAAAGAGUAGCUAAUACCGCAUACGAUCUAUGGAUGAAAGCGGGGGACCGUAAGGCCUCGCGCGAUUGGAGCGGCCGAUGUCAGAUUAGGUAGUUGGUGGGGUAAAGGCUCACCAAGCCAACGAUCUGUAGCUGGUCUGAGAGGACGACCAGCCACACUGGGACUGAGACACGGCCCAGACUCCUACGGGAGGCAGCAGUGGGGAAUUUUGGACAAUGGGCGCAAGCCUGAUCCAGCAAUGCCGCGUGCAGGAAGAAGGCCUUCGGGUUGUAAACUGCUUUUGUACGGAACGAAACGGCUCUGGUUAAUACCCGGGGCUAAUGACGGUACCGUAAGAAUAAGCACCGGCUAACUACGUG
This 482-nucleotide ribosomal RNA is filed under the name uncultured bacterium. Its description in RNAcentral is "partial 16S ribosomal RNA". It matches the Rfam family "Bacterial small subunit ribosomal RNA", at positions 30 to 507 of the family's 1533-position model. The record is from RNAcentral.